UAGAAAAGUCAUUCUUAAAGAGAAAACAACGCUUAAUUAUAAUAUUCUUAUUUUAGUAGUAUUAUAUAAAAUAUUCUCAAAUUACAAAAACGUAAAAAAGUUCAAAAUACAAAAGAAAUACAAAAAUGACUGCGCGUAACUUUGUUUCGAGAAAUCUAGCUGUAAUAAUUAUGGUCCCAUUUAUUAUUGGCGCUCAUUACGGUUGGUAUAAGUUACAGAAACUGGACAGUCUCGUUCCAGCUGACGAUCGAAAAAAAUUACCAUUUGCAUCGAUUUUCAAAUAAGGAAUAAUAAAAAUAGCCCAUGUACAUAUUAGAAUUAAAAAACAAAUGAAUACAAACUAUAACAUUAUAAGCAUAUAAUAUAAAAUAGUAUAUUUUCAGGCUUUGUAAUAUUAAAUAUGUUGAGUUUUAUAAUUAAACAUUAGUUGUAUUUUAAUAGAAAAUUAUUAAGAUUUAACAA
Vanessa tameamea is the source of this 462-nucleotide long non-coding RNA. RefSeq lists it as uncharacterized. The transcript has 2 exons. The record is from RefSeq and is a predicted model, not a curated record. Lineage: Eukaryota; Metazoa; Arthropoda; Insecta; Lepidoptera; Nymphalidae.